RNAcentral lists this long non-coding RNA (922 nucleotides) under Cavia porcellus (domestic guinea pig). Its description in RNAcentral is "lncRNA (ENSCPOG00000032372.1)". Lineage: Eukaryota; Metazoa; Chordata; Mammalia; Rodentia; Caviidae. The record is from RNAcentral.
ACAUUCUAUCAAUGAUACUGCAAACAGUUCUGUUCAAUGAUCCAAUAAAACUCUGUGAUAUCAUUUUCUAUCUUAUACACUUAAAUAUACAUGCAGUUAUAUAGUUUGGAGCACUUUCUUUUCCUCUCUUUUGUACCAUGACUAUUACAUAUUUUGGGUUUCAUUGCUCCCACGGUUCUUAUUACUUUUUUGGAAGAGAGUAAAACCAAAUGUGACAUAACAGAACAGAAUCGGUCAAGUCAAAAGGGUGGACAUAAUAGAUAAUGUAAAAACAUAAGACCCAGAGAAAUUAAAUAGCUGGUCCAGUGUCAGAAGUUGAACUUAGGCAGUUCAGCUACAGAAUCUGUGCUAAGCGUGUGUUCAAAACCCCAUAGCAAUGGGCUGGGGAUUUAGCUCAGCGGCAUAAGCGCCUACCUGGCAAGUGUGAGUUGGAUUCCCAAUACCAAAAAAAAAAAAAGAAAUCCACAGCAAUCUUUCCUUUGUCUACAUCCUGGAUGGCACCUAGGGUCCUGGCUCACUCUUCACUGCUCUCACAGCCCCAGCUUGUGUAACUGGUACUUGUCUGUUUGUUUUCCCCUGUCCGUGUUACUGGCAUGGAGUGGCUGCUCAGAGAAGGUCUGUUCACUUGACAUUUGCAGAACCCACGGCCAUACCUGCAGGCGGGACUGAUGAACCCCCAAUGCUGACCAAGGAGGAACCUGUCCCAGAAUUGCUGGAAGCUGAGGCCCCUGAAGCUUACCCCGUCUUUGAGCCAGUGCCACCUGUCCCUGAGGCAGCCCAGGGUGACACAGAGGACUCGGAGGGCGCCCCCCCACUCAAGCGCAUCUGCCCAAAUGCCCCUGACCCAUGAGAAGCCGGCCUGCUUGUCCUGUUGUCCCAGGGGCCCCUUUGGCUUUUUACAAAUAAAGUCCCUUUUGUAAUU